This 1074-nucleotide ribosomal RNA is filed under the name Triticum aestivum (bread wheat). RNAcentral's name for it is "partial small subunit ribosomal RNA". The record is from RNAcentral. Lineage: Eukaryota; Viridiplantae; Streptophyta; Magnoliopsida; Poales; Poaceae.
AUGCUACCUACUUGGAAGGCGCAUCUCAUGAACAAGGCCGGCCGCCUCGCGUUAGUCAAGGCCAUCCUGAGCGAGAUCCCGAUCCACCAGCUCCUCGCUCUAGCGCCCCCAACAAGACCAUCAAGGCACUCGAGAAGAUUCAGCGAGGCUUCUUGUGGGCCGGGCACGCGGAAGCAAAUGGCAGGCACUGCCAUGUUUAUUGGCAACGCGUUGCUAGGCCGCUCUCGCUUGGCGGCCUCGGCGUGCGCGAUCUUGCCUGGACCAGCCUCGUGCUCCGCACCCGAUGGCUGUGGUUCAGCCGCACGGACAACACCAGAGCGUGGGCUGGCCUCGACCUGCAGUUCACCGCUGAGGAGCAUGCAUUCUUCUUCGCAUCCACCACCAUGCAAAUCGGGAAUGGCAUGCAGGCCUUCUUCUGGGAAGACCGAUGGAUCGAUGGGCGCUCCGUUGGCGAGAUCGCUCCGCUCCUAUAUGCAUGCAUUCCCAAGCGCCGUUGCAAGCUCAGGACCGUCGCCCAUGGAUUAUAGGCCAAUUGAUGGGCGCGGGACAUACAUGGCACGAUUGGCAUCCAUGAGAUCGGGCAAUACUUACAGCUCUGGCACACAAUCAGCCGCACGACCCUCUCUGCCGAGCCAGACCGCCUCUCCUGAAAGUGGAACCCCCGCGACGUCUACUCCACCAAAUCGGCCUACAUCGCCACCUUCAAUGGCUCCACGGGCUGCGUCCCAUGGAAGCGCACCUGGAAGAACUGGGCGCCCCCGCGCGUCCGAUUCUUCCAUUGGCUCGCCCACCUGGACCGGUGUUGGACGGCCGACCGCCUCGCCCGCCGCGGCCUACAGCACCCCGUGCGAUGCCCCCUCUGUGACCAGGACCCUGAGACCAUACACCACCUCAUCCUCGCUUGCCCCUUCGCCCAGCAGAUCUGGUACGAGGUGCUGCACUGGCUCCGACUCUCCUGUGCCCCGCCCGACAGCGAGACUUCUCUCAAUGACUGGUGGCACACGGCGCGGCAGCACACUCCCAAACCCAUGCGCAAGGGCCUCGCCUCCGCGACCCUCCUCGUCCCAGGGAUGA